AUAGUGCAGCUCUAAGUUGGUGGUUAACUCCAUCUAAGGCUAAAUAUGACCACGAUACCGAUAGCGAACAAGUACCGUGAGAGAAAGUUGAAAAGAACUUUGAAGAGAAAGUUGAAAAGUACGUAAAACCGUUCAGGGGUAAACUUGAGAAACCCAAAAGAUCGAAUAGGGAGAUUCAUCAUCAGCGACGUUGGCUUCCGUGUGUUAC
Molecule: ribosomal RNA, 208 nt
Filed under: Belaspidia nigra
Lineage: Eukaryota; Metazoa; Arthropoda; Insecta; Hymenoptera; Chalcididae
Description: partial 28S ribosomal RNA
Rfam family: Eukaryotic large subunit ribosomal RNA
Source: RNAcentral